RNAcentral lists this ribosomal RNA (435 nucleotides) under uncultured bacterium. Its description in RNAcentral is "bacterial SSU rRNA". It matches the Rfam family "Bacterial small subunit ribosomal RNA", at positions 29 to 507 of the family's 1533-position model. The record is from RNAcentral.
AACGAACGCUGGCGGCAGGCUUAACACAUGCAAGUCGAACGCCCGUAGCAAUACGGGAGUGGCGGACGGGUGAGUAACGCGUGGGAACGUACCCUGAGGUACGGAAUAACCGAGGGAAACUUCGGCUAAUACCGUAUGAGCCCCGCAAGGGGGAAAGAUUUAUCGCCUUGGGAGCGGCCCGCGUCGGAUUAGCUAGUUGGUGGGGUAACGGCCUACCAAGGCUUCGAUCCGUAGCUGGUCUGAGAGGACGAUCAGCCACACUGGGACUGAGACACGGCCCAGACUCCUACGGGAGGCAGCAGUGGGGAAUCUUGCGCAAUGGGGGCAACCCUGACGCAGCCAUGCCGCGUGAACGAUGAAGGCCUUAGGGUUGUAAAGUUCUUUUACCCGUGACGAUGAUGACGGUAACGGGGAUAAGCUCCGGCUAACUUCGUG